GCAUGGAAGAUAUGAUGAUCAACAGCUUUUCCCAGGAUGAGGGCUGUCUAUUGCACUCCAGGCAGGUGGACCCCUGCAAGUUUCCCAAAUGCAGAAAACUUGACUGCACAGUUUUGUGGAUGGGGACUGCAUUUGCGCUUUCCCCCU
This 147-nucleotide small nuclear RNA is filed under the name Crocodylus porosus (Australian saltwater crocodile). RNAcentral's name for it is "U1 spliceosomal RNA (ENSCPRG00005000629.1)". It matches the Rfam family "U1 spliceosomal RNA". From Rfam's summary of the family: U1 is a small nuclear RNA (snRNA) component of the spliceosome (involved in pre-mRNA splicing). Its 5' end forms complementary base pairs with the 5' splice junction, thus defining the 5' donor site of an intron. Lineage: Eukaryota; Metazoa; Chordata; Crocodylia; Crocodylidae. The record is from RNAcentral.